This 468-nucleotide ribosomal RNA is filed under the name uncultured bacterium. RNAcentral's name for it is "partial 16S ribosomal RNA". It matches the Rfam family "Bacterial small subunit ribosomal RNA", at positions 28 to 507 of the family's 1533-position model. The record is from RNAcentral.
GACGAACGCUGGCGGCGUGCUUAACACAUGCAAGUCGAACGGAAAGGCCUUGCUUUUUUGGGGUGCCCGAGUUGCUAACGGGCGAGUAACUCGUGAGUAACCUGCCUUCGCCUUUGGGAUAACCUCAGGUAAGUGGGGCUAAUUCCGGCUAGGAGCGCCCGCUUUAUGGCGUGGGUUGGAAAGUUGCGGCGGCUGGGGAUGGUCACGGGGCUUAGCAGGUUGUAGGUGAGGUAGUGGAUUACCAAGGCGUGGACGAGUCGCCGGACUGGGAGGGUGACAAGCCCCAUUGGGAUUGGGAUGCGGCCAGUACUCCUUCGGGAGGCAGCAGUGGGGGAUAGAGGAAGAUGGGCGGAAGCCGGAAGGAGCAACGCCGCGUGGGGGAUGACGGCCUUCCGGUUGUAAAGCGCUUUUGCCUAUGAGGAAGCGUGAGUGACGGUAAUGGGUAAAGAAGCACCGGCUAACUACGUG